This 541-nucleotide ribosomal RNA is filed under the name uncultured bacterium. RNAcentral's name for it is "bacterial SSU rRNA". It matches the Rfam family "Bacterial small subunit ribosomal RNA", at positions 33 to 507 of the family's 1533-position model. The record is from RNAcentral.
CGACGCUGGCGGCGUGGAUUAGGCAUGCAAGUCGAACGGUAUGGACCUUUCGGGGUUCAGAGAGUGGCGAACGGGUGAGUAACACGUAGGUAAUCUACCCUCAAGACGGGGGACAACCCAGGGAAACUUGGGCUAAUACCGGAUGUGUGUAGUGGCUAUUUUUCUGAUUAUCAUUAUUUACGUAAGUGAGUAAUAAUAAGAAGGGAAAGUGGUUAUUACAUAAAAGGUGGCGUAAGCUGCCGCUUGGGGAUGAGCCUGCGUCCUAUUAGUUAGUUGGUGAGGUAACGGCUUACCAAGGCGAUGAUAGGUAGGCGGCCUUAACGGGUGGUCGCCCACACUGGGAUUGAGAUACGGCCCAGACUCCUACGGGAGGCAGCAGUCGAGAAUAGUCUACAAUGGACGGAAGUCUGAUAGUGCGACGCCGCGUGAACGAAGAAUCCCUUCGGGGUGUAAAGUUCUUUUAUACGUGAGCAGUGUCCUUUAUAUUAAUAGUAUAAGGGGAGAGAUAUUAGCGUAUGAAUAAGCAACGGCUAACUCCGUG